Long non-coding RNA from Numida meleagris (helmeted guineafowl), 904 nucleotides. RefSeq lists it as uncharacterized. The record is from RefSeq and is a predicted model, not a curated record. NCBI's taxonomy places the organism in Eukaryota, Metazoa, Chordata, Aves, Galliformes, Numididae. The transcript has 5 exons.
GCCGCCGGAGCCGAGCGCGGACUGCCCGCCCCUCCUGCGGGGGAGGGGGUGCCGGGGCCGCCGGGCCGUGCCGGGGAGGAGCCCGCGGGGGCGCUUCCUCAGCUGUUAUGGUACUGCUGAUACAACGCAGAGCACUGAGAUCCUUCUGUUUCUAACCCAGGCACACAAUGUGGAGAGACAUGCAUGGAUAACGUAAUUAUUACUUCUCUUUUAUUUUUCGUCUUUUGGGUGAAAAUAAGGGAGGAUUUUCAAGCCCACGGAAGUCUAAAGUAGCAUCUGAUUGAGAACCUUUCUACCUAAGAAUUUCGGGGACCAGUGGCUAUUUAACUACCAGAUCGUACAAAGGCCUUUCCCCCAGUUCUGAGACAGGUCCCAACCAGACAAAAAGGAGAGUGUUAACUGCCCUCUGUGAAUUGUUAUCUGCUUGCUGAAUCCCCAAAAGCAACAGGGACAACAUUUUUCUCCUCAAAGCCAGCAGGUCAGAGCUCUCCUACCCAAUAUGGACAUCACAAACAUUAUCAGAUCUGGUAAUCUUUUAACAUACGACCCUUUGAAGGAAGCAGAGUAACGGGAUCUGUACAACUAUGCACAUUUGCAUUUAGUGAUAUGACUUGAGGGAAACAGAACGUAACCCACAAAUGAUUUUUCGGGGCUGCACAGUAGUCAUUUAUAUCUAAAGAAUCAGAGUCUGUCUACUUGCUAAGCACGAGUAGUACAAGGUACUUCCCUGGGAACAAGAUAGUAUUCAAAAACCUCAGUUUUACACAGCCACUGAGAACACAUUUUGAAACUUAAGACCUGCUCUAUGAGUAAGAUUAAAAAUAUGACUAACUAGAACACUAGAAAAGAAAAAAAUUGAAGCCUAAUUUUUUUUUUUUACUAUGAUGAUUUACUUUGUAUAAAU